UACAGAGGGUGCAAACGUUGUUCGGAAUCACUGGGCGUAAAGCGCGUGUAGGCGGCCGAUUGUGUCGAGUGUGAAAGCCCUCGGCUUAACCGAGGAAGUGCGCUCGAAACUGGUCGACUUGAGUACCGGAGAGGGGGGUGGAAUUCCCGGUGUAGAGGUGAAAUUCGUAGAUAUCGGGAGGAACACCAGUGGCGAAAGCGACCCCCUGGACGGAUACUGACGCUGAGACGCGAAAGCGUGGGGAGCAAACAGG
Molecule: ribosomal RNA, 253 nt
Filed under: uncultured bacterium
Lineage: Bacteria
Description: partial 16S ribosomal RNA
Rfam family: Bacterial small subunit ribosomal RNA
Source: RNAcentral